RNAcentral lists this ribosomal RNA (453 nucleotides) under uncultured marine bacterium. RNAcentral's name for it is "bacterial SSU rRNA". It matches the Rfam family "Bacterial small subunit ribosomal RNA", at positions 360 to 804 of the family's 1533-position model. The record is from RNAcentral.
AAUAUUGCACAAUGGGCGCAAGCCUGAUGCAGCCAUGCCGCGUGUAUGAAGAAGGCCUUCGGGUUGUAAAGUACUUUUCAGCAGUGAGGAAGGCGGGUGUGUUAAUAGCACAUUCGUUUGACGUUAGCUGCAGAAGAAGCACCGGCUAACUCCGUGCCAGCAGCCGCGGUAAUACGGAGGGUGCGAGCGUUAAUCGGAAUUACUGGGCGUAAAGCGCAUGCAGGUGGAUGAUUAAGUCAGAUGUGAAAGCCCGGGGCUCAACCUCGGAAUAGCAUUUGAAACUGGUCAUCUAGAGUACUGUAGAGGGGGGUAGAAUUUCAGGUGUAGCGGUGAAAUGCGUAGAGAUCUGAAGGAAUACCGGUGGCGAAGGCGGCCCCCUGGACAGAUACUGACACUCAGAUGCGAAAGCGUGGGGAGCAAACAGGAUUAGAUACCCUGGUAGUCCACGCCGUA